UACUAAUGCAACUGCGAAUAGCUGUUUAAUACAGUCGCAAUUGUAUUGACUUAGUAUGUUAUAAAUAGUUAUGUAAUAGGAUAACUAAGGGAAAGUUUGGCUAAUACGUUUAAUUUUACACAUGUAAAUAUGCAUAUAAUAAUAUUGCAACAUGAUAGAUAUUAUAUAAAUAUAAAUAUAAAUAUUUAUUUAUAUUAAUAUAGAGCAGACUUUAUAAUAUUUAUUUAUUAUAAAGCAUGUCAAACAAGCAUCUAUAGCAUCAAGUCACAAUGUUGGCAUGUGUAUUAUUGAACCUUCAAAGCAUUUACGCAUUCGGAGGAGUAGUUUCUGAUCCCGUCGAAGGUGCCUGAGAGACGGCACUUAGUUCUAAGGAACGCAGCAGGCGCGUAAAUUGCCCAAUGACAAAACAUAUAAUUGAGGCAGUGACAAGCUGUAAAGAUUGAAUAUAUUAAUUAAGAUAACAUUUGGAAUUGUCGCUUUGUAAUAUUUUAAUAUUAUAUUGCUUGAUAAUAUACCAAUGUUAUAAAAUAUUCAAUUUGAAUGCGGUGAAUAUAAUAAUUUCAGGUAACAUGUAUAAAAUAUUUAUUAUUUUAUAUGUUAUCUGAAUAUUCAAGUGGAGGGCAAGUCUGGUGCCAGCAGCCGCGGUAAUACCAGCUCCACUAGCUUAUACAAUCAUUGUUGCGGUUAAGAGGCUCGUAGUUGGAUUGAAUUAACACACAUUACUUUUUGUAAUGUUAAUACUGUGAACAAACCAGAGUGUAUAAAACAUGUAAUAUUAUAUAUAUUAUGCAAUGAAUGUUUUAUCAUGGAAUAUUGUUUAUUUCGAUGGAGAUAGUUGGAGUUAAGAGUACUUAUAGGCGAGCGGUGAAAUGCAUUGACCCUAUUAAGACUAACAAAAGCGAAAGCACUUAACUAGAUUAUACUCUUUGUAUAUUAUUACAAUGAAGAGCGAAGGUUGGGGGAACAAAGAGGAUCAGAUACCCUCGUAGUCCUAUUUUUUACAUCAAACUAUGGGAUUUCAAUUGAAUAAUAUAUUAUUCUUAAUACCCCUAACAUAUUUAAUAUUUAUUGAUUGAGAUAAUUAAUAUAUUUAUCUCUCAUAAAAUAUAAAAUAAUAUAGUGGUACAAUAUUUAUUAUAUGUACUUUGAGCUCAUAUAAUUAAUAUAGGUGAGAUGUAAGCAUUAUAGGUGAACAAUAUAUUUAUAUUAUAAAUAUUAUUGGAAUCCUUAUAAAUAAAUGUAAUGUGAUGCACGUUUUAGGUACGAGCUUACUAUAGAAAUAUUUAAAAUAAUACCCUCCUGGGGUAGUAUGCACGCAAGUGUGAAACUUGAAGGAAUUGACGGAAGGGCACCACAAGAACGCGUGGAGCAUGUGGCUUAAUUUGACUCAACCCGGGAAAUCUUACCAGGUCCAGACAUAUUGAGGAUUGACAGGCGAUAAUCAACAUACAAUUUCUUUGUUGUUGGUAUAAAAAUGAUAGUCCUUUCAUGAUUAUAUGAUAGGUGGUGCAUGGCCGUUCUUAGUUCGUGGAGUGAUUUGUCUGCUUAAUUGCGUUUCAGUAAAUAAAAUAUAUAUAAUGUAUUAAUAUUUUAGUUCUGCCAUUUUUAAUGGAUUUUAAGUGAACAAUAUUAUACAUAUAUAUUAAUAUAUGAAUGCAACGAACGUGACCGUAACCUUUUAUUGCUAUUAUUAAUAUAUUAUAGCAUAAAAUUAAAGGAACCGCUGUCAUUAUUAUAUGUGUUAAAAUAGAGUAAGAAUACGGCAAUAACAGGUCUGUGAUGCCCUCAGAUGUUCUGGGCUGCACACGUGCUACAAUAAUUACAUUAAUAAGUAUAUAUAAUAAAUAUUUAUAUACAUUUAAUGUAUAAUAAUAUUGUAAAACCUAUUUCGAAAGUAAAUCGGUAAUCAUUUAAAAAUCGUAAUAAAUAAUAAUAUAUAUACAUAAUUGUAUAUUUAAUUAAUUUAAGGUGGGGAUAGUGUAUUGUUAAUUAUUACACUUGGCCUUAACUAGGAAUGCCUUGUACUCUUCUUUGGUUUAACAUACCAAGAGGAAUACGUCCCUGCCCUUUGUACACACCGCCCGUCGCUCUUACCGAUGAAUUAUGUUAUAAAUCUAAGGGACUUAUAAUAUUUAUUUUAGGAAACUUAUAUACAUAAUGUGAUUUAAAGGAAAGAGAAGUCGUAACAAGGCAUCAGUAGGUGAACCU
Molecule: ribosomal RNA, 2208 nt
Filed under: Amphisorus kudakajimaensis
Lineage: Eukaryota; Foraminifera; Miliolida; Soritidae
Description: SSU rRNA
Rfam family: Eukaryotic small subunit ribosomal RNA
Source: RNAcentral